This 355-nucleotide long non-coding RNA is filed under the name Mytilus galloprovincialis (Mediterranean mussel). Lineage: Eukaryota; Metazoa; Mollusca; Bivalvia; Mytilida; Mytilidae. The record is from RNAcentral.
CUUGAAUACUAUAAUAGAUUGAGAUAAACUGUAAACAGCAACAAUGUUCAGCAAAGUAAGACCUAAAAAUAAGUCAACACGACCAAAAUGAUCAAUUGACCCCCUAAGGAGUUAUUGCCCUUCAUAGUCAAUUUUUAACAAUUUUCAUAAAAUUUGUAGAUUUUCACAAACAUUUUCCACUGAAACUACUGAGCCAAGUUCAUUAUAGAUAGAGAUAAUUGUAAGCAGCAAGAAUGUUAAGUAAAGUAAAAUCUAAAAACACAUCACCAUUACCAAAAAGCAAUUUUGUCAUGAAUCCAUCUGUGUCCUUUGUUGACCAAGGUGAGCGACACAGGCUCUUUAGAGCCUCUAGUUA